GUGUACCUUCAGGGACGGGUGAAAUUCCAUACCGGCGGUAAGAAAUAAAUUUUUUUCAAGCCCGCGAGCCCGGCACUCACAAACGUCAAUAAACGGCAAAAUAUGAGUAUGUCAUUUUUUGAAGAGCGGUAACUUUAAGCUAUUACGGUAUAGUGAGAGCCAGGCUGAUCUGGUGCAAAGCCAGGGCCGACAGUUAAAGUCUGGAAGGAAGAAGGUUGUA
Molecule: non-coding RNA, 220 nt
Filed under: Peptococcaceae bacterium SCADC1_2_3
Lineage: Bacteria; Bacillati; Bacillota; Clostridia; Eubacteriales; Peptococcaceae
Also listed under: 1 other name
Description: FMN riboswitch aptamer (RFN element)
Rfam family: FMN riboswitch aptamer (RFN element)
About the family: The RFN element is a highly conserved domain that is found frequently in the 5'-untranslated regions of prokaryotic mRNAs that encode for flavin mononucleotide (FMN) biosynthesis and transport proteins. This element is a metabolite-dependent riboswitch that directly binds FMN in the absence of proteins.
Source: Rfam by way of RNAcentral